CGCGAUUUUUCACGAAAUGUUGGGGAGGUACCCCACAUUUCGCGGGGCGCGUUUUGGGGCCCAAAACGCGCGAUUUUUCGCGAAAAGUUGCAAGGGUACCACGUGUUCCGCAGGCUUUUUUUGGGGCCCAAAACACGCGAUUUUUCACGAAAUGUUGGAGAGGUACCCCACAUUUCGCCCCAAAACGCGGUCUUCGUGAAUUGUUGGGGAGGUACCACAUGUCCCGCGGGCGUGCGUUUUGGCACCCAAAAAGAACACGGGAUUGUGGAGGUACGCUGCAGCUUUGGAUCAGCUGCCCCACACUAUAAGAGUAGGGGGAGUGUGAAAUAUU
This 331-nucleotide long non-coding RNA is filed under the name Selaginella moellendorffii. Its description in RNAcentral is "long non-coding RNA (SMOE_LNC001841)". The record is from RNAcentral. Lineage: Eukaryota; Viridiplantae; Streptophyta; Lycopodiopsida; Selaginellales; Selaginellaceae.